AACGUAGGACGCAAGCGUUAUCCGGAGUUACUGGGCGUAAAGGGCAGGCAGGCGGGUCGAUAAGUCGGAUGUGAAAUCUCCCUGGCUUAACCGGGAGAGUGCAUUUGAGACUGUCAACCUGGAGGGCAGCAGAGGAGCGUGGAAUUCCGGGUGGAGUGGUGAAAUGCAUAGAGAUCCGGAGGAACACCAGAGGCGAAAGCGGCGCUCUGGGCUGCACCUGACGCUGAACUGCGAAAGCCAGGGGAGCGAACGGG
RNAcentral lists this ribosomal RNA (254 nucleotides) under uncultured bacterium. RNAcentral describes it as "partial 16S ribosomal RNA". It matches the Rfam family "Bacterial small subunit ribosomal RNA", at positions 524 to 776 of the family's 1533-position model. The record is from RNAcentral.